GACGAACGCUGGCGGCGUGCUUAACACAUGCAAGUCGAACGGAAAGGCCCUGCUUUGGUGGGGUGCUCGAGUGGCGAACGGGUGAGUAACACGUGAGUAACCUGCCCCUGACUUUGGGAUAACUUCAGGAAACUGGGGCUAAUACCGGAUAGGAGCUCCUGCUGCAUGGUGGGGGUUGGAAAGUUUCGGCGGUUGGUGAUGGACUCGCGGCUUAUCAGCUUGUUGGUGGGGUAGUGGCUUACCAAGGCUUUGACGGGUAGCCGGGCUGAGAGGGUGACCGGACCAACUGGGACUGAGAUAAGACACAGACUCCUCCGGGAGGGAGCAGUGGGGUAUAGUACACAAUGGGCGGAAGCAUGAUGCAGCAACGCCGCGUGGGGGAUGACGGCCUUCGGGUUGUAAACCGCUGUCGCCUGUGACGAAGCGUGAGUGACGGUAAUGGGUAAAGAAGCACCGGCUAACUCCGUG
This 468-nucleotide ribosomal RNA is filed under the name uncultured bacterium. Its description in RNAcentral is "partial 16S ribosomal RNA". It matches the Rfam family "Bacterial small subunit ribosomal RNA", at positions 28 to 507 of the family's 1533-position model. The record is from RNAcentral.